RNAcentral lists this transfer RNA (82 nucleotides) under Entamoeba terrapinae. Its description in RNAcentral is "tRNA-Ser". It matches the Rfam family "tRNA". Rfam says of the family: Transfer RNA (tRNA) molecules are approximately 80 nucleotides in length. The record is from RNAcentral. Lineage: Eukaryota; Evosea; Mastigamoebida; Endamoebidae.
GACAACGUGGCCGAGUGGUUAAGGCGAUUCCCUGCUAAGGAACUAUCCUAUGGAUGCGUAGGUUCAAAUCCUGCCGUUGUCG